RNAcentral lists this unclassified non-coding RNA (281 nucleotides) under plant metagenome. RNAcentral's name for it is "partial contains small subunit ribosomal RNA, internal transcribed spacer 1, and 5.8S ribosomal RNA". The record is from RNAcentral.
UUUCCGUAGGUGAACCUGCGGAAGGAUCAUUGUCGAAGCCUGCCCAGCAGAACGACCCGCGAACUUGUAUAAACAACCGGGGGCAGGGGCGAUCUCGCCCCGUGCCCUCGAACGGCAGGGAGACACUCGUGCCUUCUUGUCGAACAACGAACCCCGGCGCGGUCUGCGCCAAGGAACUUCAAUUAAAGAGGGCCUCCGGUCGCCUCGGAAACGAUGCGCGUGUCGGAGGCGAAUCUUGUACAAAACCAUAACGACUCUCGGCAACGGAUAUCUCGGCUCUC